This 34928-nucleotide long non-coding RNA is filed under the name Malus domestica (apple). RNAcentral describes it as "long non-coding RNA (MDOM_LNC006631)". The record is from RNAcentral. Lineage: Eukaryota; Viridiplantae; Streptophyta; Magnoliopsida; Rosales; Rosaceae.
AACUACCAAACUUUCAGGUAUAACUUCAAGAACUGAAACUGAAGGUACAUGUGAGGAGAAUAUUGGUGGUGGUGGGGGAAAUAUUGAGAAUAUUGGUAGGGGUGGGGAUUCUCUUACAGUGUCAGACUUCAGGGACAAACCUGAACUGAGUAGAACUAAGAGUACUAUUUCAAAGGGGAAGAAGAAAAGAAAAGAAAAGAAAUUCUUUCUAAGGCAGAUGCUGCUGGCGUGACCUCUGAUCUUUAUGGGGCAUACAAGAACCCUGAAGAAAAGAAGGGUAUUGAAAACACUGAAAGUAUUAUGACCAGUAUAAUUUCAAGGCAGGUAGCUGCUGAUGCUCCUCAGCAAGUUGCUGUAGGGAGAGAGAAAGAUGCACCGGUUAAAGCUGCGCCAGAUGAUUGGGAAGACGCUGCUGACAUCUAUACCCCGAAACUGGAAACCUCAGAUACUGGAGAGCAAGUCCGUGGAGUGGAUGAUUCUGACAAAGAUGGACAUGAACAUGGAGUGAAGAAAUAUUCCAGAGAUUUCCUUUUGAAGUUUUCUAACCAAUUUGCUGAGCUUGCAGAAGAUUUUGAUAUUAUGUCUCUUAUAGCAGAGAUCUUGAAUGCUAGUGUGAAUGCUGCUCCUGCUACUGCUUCAGUUAAAAAAAAGGUUUCAACUGAAACUGAGGGUACAUGUGAGGAGAACAUUGGUGGUGGUGGGGAUGCUCUUACAGUGUCAGACUUCAGGGACAAACCUGAACUGAGUAGAACUAAGAGUACUAUUUCAAAGGGGAAGAAGAAAAGAAAAGAAAUUCUUAAGAAAAGAAAAGAAAUUCUUUCUAAGGCAGAUGCUGCUGGCGUGAUCUCUGCUCCUGCUACUGCUUAUGUUGAAAAACAGGUUUCAAAUCUUUUGUCCUCUUCUUCAGUUGCUCCAACUGAGGAGUCUGUACCAGUUGUGACCACCACUGAACCAGAAGAAUUAUUGACAGGCAAAAAGGAGCUGCAAGACUUGACCGUCGCGGGAGAGGAAUGAUGGAUGAUGAUAGAUGGAAUAAGGGAGGUGCUACCAAUUUCCGAACUAGCCAAGGACCAAAUUUUGGUGUUUUGAGGAAUCCGCGUGCACCGACACCAGUUCAGCAGGGAGGGAUGCAAAGAAAUAAUUCUGAUGCCAACAGGUGGCAGAGAGAUACGAAUUUUCAACCUAAGGGCUUGAUGGCUUCUCCUCAUGCUCCAUUACAGGUGAUGCACAAAGCUGACAGGAAGUAUGAAAUGGGUAAAGUGAGUGAUGAAGAGUAGGCCAAGCAAAAGCAGUUAAAGGCUAUACUGAACAAGUUAACUCCUCAAAAUUUUGAAAAACCAUUCGAGCAAGUGAAAGCUGUUAAUGUAGAUAAUGCAACGACUCUAACCGGUAUCAUUUCACAGAUGUUUGACAAGGCUCUUAUGGAGCCUACUUUCUGUGAGAUGAUUGCUAACUUCUGUUGUUCUUAUGCCUUAGUGUUGCCUGAUUUCAGUGAAGAAAAUGAAAAGAUAACUUUUAAAAGAUUGCUUUUGAACAAGUGCCAGGAGGAAUUUGAGAGGGGAGGAAGAGAGCAAGAGGAGACCAAUAAGGCCGAUGAGGAGGGUCGGGUGAAACAGUCUGAAGAAGAAAGAGAGGAGAAAAGAAUCAAAGCGCGAAGACGAAGGUUGGGUAAUAUUAGCUUGAUUGGGGAGCUAUACAAAAAGAGAAUGUUGACCGAGAGAGUAAUGCACGAAUGCAUUAAAAAGUUGUUUGGUCAGCAACAGACUCCAGUUGAGCAAAAUAUUGAAGCUUUGUGCAAACUAAUGAGCACCAUUGGGGAGAUGAUUGAUCAUCCGAAUGCCAAGGAGUACAUGGAUGCAUAUUUUGAAAGGAUGAAAAGCUUGUCGAAUAACAUGAAAUUAUCUUCUAGUGUUAGGUUCAUGUUGAAUGAUGCAAUUGAUUUGAGAAAGAAUAAAUGGCAGCAGAGGAGGAAAGUUGAAGGAUGAAUAAAGAUUGAGGAAGUGCACAGAGAUGCUGCACAAGAACGACAAGCACAGUCUAGUAGGCUGGUCUGUGGUCCUAGAAUCAAUCCAUCAGCUAGAAGGGGGCCUCCUAGUCCAAGAGGAUCGACUAUGUUCUCUUCACCUAAUGUUCGUAGUUUCGAUAGAACUCUUCCAACUUCACCACCCACACUUGCAUAUGGAGCAGGUUUAACACAAAAUGUUCCUUCAGAAAAUGUGUUGACUGAAGACCGUCUUAGGGAUAUGUCUUUGGCAGCAAUUAGAGAAUUUUACAGGUAUAUUUUUAUUUUUGAGAGAGCAGUCAUUUCUCAUUACAUUUGUCAUGCAUGCUUUAGACUGUUCUAAUUAAUUUUUGUUAUCUUUUAGUUCAAUGCAUCUUUCAGAUGUGAUCAUUCUCUGCGUGCUAAAAAAAUCUGCCUAUGAUUUGCUUAAUGUGAUUAUCCGUUCAAUUCUUGAAAGGAAAGUUGGGCAUGUGUGUUCUGUGCCUGGGGAAUGAAUAGGACUUGGGCGCAAUGGUUGGUCAUCUUCCAGAUCCUCUCAAAUCACGGAUUCUAGAGAAAUUUAUUUAGAGAUUAGUGAUGCUCAUUGUAAUCGUGCUAGAAGAAAUUCAUUACUGGUAGCGUUCAAAAACUCAUAAUUAUAUGCCUGCAAUGAAGAACUUUUGUACUGUAACUAUGAUUACAAUAUCCAUAACAUCGUGUAUGUAUUCUAUUAUAUCCCAAAAAAAAUGUAACUAUGCUGCAAUUCAUAUGUAUUUGUAAAUUAUUAGGACCUCAGAACUUUGCAUUUUCUUUUUGUAUUUAUUCCGAGUGAAGUGUAUUUUUUAUUUUAUCUUCCUCCCAUCCCUUCAAUGAAUAUUUUGUUUGUGUUGCGAGAGAAAAGUAACGAGUUAAUUGUAUAGAUCUAUCUAUGGAAUUGAUGAUUUGAUACUCUUACCUUUUUUAACGAUAUGUACAACGAUAAAUUUGCACUAAAUGAAAUGAUGAAGGGUAAAUUUGUACUCUAAAUUAAAUUAAAUUAUAAGAUGAUUGAAACUCAAGUGACAUACGUAUUACAUGUGUAAUUUUGAUGAUUAAACUUGGGUCAACAAUUGCUUGCAAGAGCCUAAAACAAAAACAAAUCCAACUGCCGGAUGCUUUUUUCUAGUUUAUUUUUUUGGUUCCAGUUAAUGGACAUUAAUUAAUCAGAGUAAGUACGCAAUGAUUCUGCUAUGGUACAAUUUUCGUUAAGUAGAGGGGUUUGUUUGACAAAAAUAAUCUUUAAAAGGUGGUAACGUGAUCGUUUACGUGACAAUUUAACAAAUAUAUUGACAAAUUUAUCAUGGAAUGAUUAAAAUGAUUUACGGUAGACAAUGAUGUAGGACAAGAUUGUGGUGAAUUUUCAUGAAGAAAAAGUAAAGAAAAUGAGAGCUCUAUAAAACUGACAAGGAAUGAUGCAUUAGAGAAAAUCUCCACUCAAAUACCAAAUAUGGCGUUAAAAUAGGAAGAAUAUUGUGUUGGGAUUUUUUGGUUGCUUGAGAAAUGGACUGAAGGAAGACAAAAGGACGUGGCGGGAAUUUAUAUAUUUAGCGCUCAAGCUUCGUUUUGAGCCCAAGAUACAUUUUUGAAAAGAGCGUGACAUCCCAGUUCAAACUCACUAUUUUGUUGCAAUGUUAUGAUGAAUUUUAGUGUUCUAAAAAUCGUAGGCGCUGGGCGGUGGCUGACCGAGGGGAUUAAUGCAAAAUCGGGAGCAAAAUCGGGAUAGGGAUUAGGCGGCCCUUGGGCGGCCUAGGUAGGCGACUGAGUGGCCUAGGCGGUCUAGGAAUUUCAGUUUUGUUAUGUUUUCAAGAAUGCAGAUCAGCUGCAUUUUUUUUUUUUUUUUUGCCUUUCUGGGUUUCUUCUGGUUCUCGGUUUGGCAAAGAGGAAAAGAGGAAGACGAUGACAUUCUCUCUCUUCCUUUCACACCAUGUGACCAAGCUACAUACUUUUCUUAUUUAAUUUUUUUUUCUUAGUUUCUCUCCAAUCAAAUUUGGACAGCUAGCAUCAAAUUGCUUGCUUUUUGUAAAAAGCCAUAGGCUGUCAGUUCUAGCACAUUGAUUUUUCUCCAGAGGUGGAUUGUCUGCCCUCCCAUUUCCAUACUCUUCCCAUCCCUUCCUGUUUGUGUGGUCACGGUUAAGCGAUGUCAAUAUUUUAUAUUCUUAUUACUUUUUGUUUUAUUAUUUUUAUAAAAAAAUCAAUAUAAAAUGUUGAAGUGGCUUAACCGUGACUACACAAACAGGAGAGGAUUGGAAGAGUAUGGAAAUGGGAAGGCAGACAAUCCACCUCUUUUUUCUCCUAAAAAAUGAUAGGGUGUCAGGUUGAAGAUGUCAUUGUCAUUAAGUUUUGGUGCAGAGUUCCCAUCUUUAUGCGUCCUAGUGUGUCCUUUCCACAUCCACAUAUUGAACACCUUUAUUUCUCUUUAACUUCAACAUAAAUUAAUAUGAUCUCUAAAAAAUAUUAUUAUGAACCACCCAUAUUGACAUCAUAAUUUUCUCUUUAUUAUGAACCAUCCAACCCAAUACAUGGGAUUAUUACUUUUAUUUUAAAAAAAUUAGAUAUGAAUUAUAAUCAUUCAAAAUGUCUUAAGUUAUAUGGCAUAUAUGCUUAAUGUGUUUUUAAACUUUGAAUUUGUUAGAUACUUUUUUUUUUUGUAUUUUAUCAUUCUUUUAUUAUCUUAUCCAUGAAUUUCAUACAAGUAUAAUUUUUUGUAAGUGUUAAUAUACACUUAUUUACAAGAUAUACAAAAAAUUUACUUAAAUCCGUCUAGGCCGCCUAGCCCCCGCCUAACCGCCUAGAAGCUAGGCGCCAACCCGCCGCCCGACUAGUGCCUAGCAUUUUUUAGAAUCUUGAAUUUUAGUCAUCCAAGGUUGUUUAGAAGUCCAAAACAGCAAAAUAAACUUGUAAUCAAUUUUGAACUUUUUAAUUUCUGUUGGAAUUCAUGUCAUUUUAAUUCCCUAAGACCCUUGAGCUUCCCUAGGGUUGUGUUUAUGUCUUUAAGCUAUUGGGCUUCCAAUGUAAUUCAUCAAUUUCAAAAUUAAUCAAACACCCUUUUCAGUUUUCUCUCAAAAUCUAAUGGACUCAAGAAUCCUUUGUUUUUCAAGAUUUACGUUUGUAAUCAUUCACGCUCGUGAUGCGUCAAUUAGUAUCAAAGCAGGGAUUUAUCAUGUUCUUUGGCAAUCGAUUAUGGGAGAAGCAAAACCCUAAGCGGCGUUGUUCGUAAGGGAAUGGCAAUAGAUGCGGUGUGCGCAAAAAGAAUAGCCCCGAGCCACCCUCAUCUAGUUGAUGUUGAAGAUAUUCCUAUUUUCUUGGGAAGUGAUUGCAUUAAAGGUUUUCUCUUGUGGGUUGAGGAUGUAGAGAAACUUUUCAAGAUACAACCAAUUCCAGAAAGGAAGAUAGUGAAGAUCAAUCGUUGCUUCUUGUUUAGAUGGUGAUGUGCAUUUAUGGUGGGAUCAAAUGCAAGAGUCUAGGCGAAAACAAGGUAAAAUCCUAUCACUUGGCAUUGGUUGAAGUGACUAAUUGUUAAACAAUUUCUUUUUUUUUUUAUUUAUUUAUACAAAUUGUAUUUGGCAAGUAUGGGUCAAGCAAUCAUUAGAAAAGAAGCUAAAGUGAUGGAGAAUGAUAUUUCAUUAUGCCAAGAAACGGUGGAGGUCAAGGUGGAAAUAAUGAAUGAGUAAUUUUGCUGAUUGAGAAUCUUGUUGAAGAAGAUCUCCUAAAACAUGACAACUCACAAGUGCAGACUCAAGAAAUUCAAGGUAUGGGUGAUUAUGAAUUGCUAUGAUUUUUGGAGAAUCAUCAAUCUACUAAAUAGGGGUUAAAUUCCAUUGUUGACCAAACAACAAAAUUGGGGAAGGAAAAUAUUUUGAUUAUCGAUGGCAUAGUUCAAUCUUGUUUAUGGAAUUAAUUUAAUGAUUAUUUCACCUACUUUCACUGAAAGUUGGGCUUCUUGAGUUGAACUUUCAGUGCUUCUCAAGUCGAAGAAUUUAUUUGCUUAACAAGGUUGCCAACUAGCUAUCAAGAUCGUUUUAAGAAGAACUCGAGGUUGAGUUCUUUAUCAGUGGAUGAGUCUGAUAUAAACAAGAUAUGAGUCAAUUCUGACGAAGAAAGAUAAAGAAAAUAAAAUGUUUCAAAUUCUGAAAAAGAAUAAUUAAAGUUGGGAAAUAUUGGAUUUAAUUGAUAUGGUGACAUAAAAGGCAAUAAGAAGUAUUUUGGUAUUGGAAUUAGGCGUAUGAUAUAUCGUUUUGAAUAGAAUCGCGAGCAGAACAAGAGUCAUGGUCAUCCCAUGAGCCCAUCGUGUUUAAGGUCAUCCAAGGUCAUUUUAGACUCCCAAACCAGCAUUUUAAAGUUUGUAAUAAAAAUUGGACUUUUGGUUUUUCGUUCAAUUUAUGUCAUUUUAAUUUUCCUAAGACUUCUGAGCUUUCCCAAGGCGAAGUUAAGUUUAUUUAAGCCUUUCGGCUUCUAUGUAAUCAUCAUUGAAGAAUUAAACAAUAAACCUUUGAAAUUUUCUCUCUAAACUUGUGGAUUCCAGCUUUCUGAUUUUUGGGUUUACCUUUUAAUCCCAUUUACUACGUUCGUGCAGUGUCAAUUGGUAUCAGAGUAGAAACUUGCCCUGUUCUAAUGGCAAUCAAUGGUGAUACAAACCUUUGUUCAACAUUGAUUGUGGGGAGGAGGCUAUUUAUGUAAUACCAAAGAUCUUCUAUGGUGAUUGCAGAUAGUAUUUUGUUGAUGGGGAAUGCGAUGGAGAAUUUUCCUUAAGCCAAACUCGUCAACUUGAUGUUGGGAAUGAAUUGAAAUGCAAUGAAAGAUGAUGUGAGGACUUGCAAUGAUGGAGUUGUACAACUAUUUUGCUAAAUAUGGAUGAGCAACAUGGAAUGUGAGUUCACAUGCUUUUAUACUCAAGACCAAUUUUUGAAAAGUUGAUUGGCCAACCUAUAUUUGGGACCAUGAUUUUCUGAGCCCAUGACACAUUUAAGAUAGACCGGAAUGCCUCAGCCCUGUUGACCCUAAAAACUAUCAAGCCUAUGUGGCACGUAGGCCGAGUAAUUAAUGAGCUAACUACGUCAUUCGGUUGUAUGCGGGCGUGCCAAUUCGUCGGCCGAUGCGUUGGGUGCGCUGCUGACUUCUCGAUCUUGCGAUUACGGUCGAGGAAGGAACAUGUCUCGGCCUUCGGGUUCUAGAGCCUGAAGACAAGGCUGCUAGUUCUGUGAAGUUCAAUAUCAAAAUCGGCUCUUAGGAUGCCGAAUGUAGUAACCUGGUAACACCUCACUUCAUCGAGAAGGCUAAUGAGGUGACCUCUGCCAAUAAGGAUUUGAAAAUCCUUCUCAACCAAGACUUGGAUAGAUAACCAGUCAGCCUCGUCGCAGUGUUGUUUAUCCAAACUGAAGGUGUUUCGCAGUCGGCUGAUUCUACGGCAACAGUGCUGUUUAUCCAAACUGAAGAUGUGUUAGCGAAAAAGAAAAUAAAAAAAAUCUCAAAGUUGUUGAGAGGUUUGAGCAAAGCAAUUUGUGUGUUGAGUUGGAGAGGGCUUGAAUGAUGCACUCAUUCCUCUAUUUAUAGAACUAACUUAGCGCAAAAUCCAGUCGUGACCAUCAAUCACCACAAAUAAUAAUAGUUUUGUAGAGAUGAUUAUCCAAUGAGAGCCGUGGCACUCAACGUAUUUGGUGCUAACCACGCAUUGGCUUACUGCACGGAAUUAAUCUUUCAAGUUAGACCUCCACCUUGGUUACCAACUGGUGCCACCACAUGCUAGGACUAUUCUCAUAAUGCAUGAUGCUCAAUCCCCAGGUUGAAUGCUAAGAACCCCAAAUUAAAUUGAACUAUUAUGCUUGCUUUGAUAUAGUUUGCUUCACAUUUAUCUCGUAUAAGAAAAGUGUCAAGAUAAUUCAUUAUUAAAAGAUAAUUAUCAUGAUUAAAAAUCAUAAUAUUAUCCCCUAACAACAACAAAAUUAUCUUAACCUUCCUAUCCGAUGAUGUGGAGCUAUGCUCACUCAACGGUCUUGAUUGCACUGCCGAUUGUGUAAUUUUGGGUCCAAACAAGCCCAUAAAGCACAAUCCAACAUGCUAGGCUUAAGGCCUAUUAGAGAUAUUACUUUUCUCCCAAGUAGGAAACCCUAAUUUAAGUCAAAUUAGGAUAGUUGGGGAUUAUGCAAUGUAAUCAUGAUUCUAGAUGGAUUUGGUAACUUAUCCAAGAUUUCCUCCUAGAUAGACUCCCGAUUUGAUGAAGAUUACUUUACCUACAAGGACUCUCAAGAUCCCUAUAAAUACUCAAGCCUGGGUAUUCAUCAGGGAGACAUGAAUCUCUCUCUUUCGGACCAUUGAUGGAUUCAUCUUCUCUAGCAUUCAUAUUCUCUCUACGCUUAACAGAGGCUUCCACCCCACUACCAUAGGCUACUCGUCAUGGAUGGUUCACACCAUUCUUUCUUAGGACUACACCCGCGGUUUGAUUCUCCUUCCCGGAGAUAUCUAGGCAGUAAUAAUUGGGUUCAACCACACCUCAUCCCCCAAUCAACACUAUUCUCCCCUCGUUGGAGAUCAUGGGCAAGUCCGACUUGAUUUUGCCUCCGUUGUUGAAUGUGCACAAAUUUGGUUCCAACAAUUGAUGCUCUCGUUGAUAGAGAACUCAUAUUUCCCCAACCAACGUCCUUUGCCAUGAGUAAUGACGAAAGCCGAAAGAUCCUGGAAAAAAAGAACUUUGACUGAUGUUCCAGAGACAACCAUGAAAUCCCAAAAGUCAAUAGGAAGAUUAAUCUUUCAGGAAGGAAAUUGCCAAAAAGUUACAAUGUCCUCCAAACAUAAUAAGGGAAGGACAUCCUACAUGACAUGCACAUUUUGAUUAAUUUUAGAGAGGUGUAUUCAAUUGGGAAUUUGAGAGAUUUAAAUGGAUUUAUAAAUCCAUGAAUUUUUAUGGAGUUUAAUUGAUUUGUAGAGAUUCCAUGUAAAAUUUGGAUUCAAUUCCCUUGAAAUCUCGUGGGAGAGAGGUGAGAUUUGUAGAUGCUUAAAAUACAUUACGAAAUCUCUCCAAUUCCUUCUAAUUCCUCAACUUUUUCAAAAUCUUUUUGUUUUUUGUUUUAUGUUUUUUUUUUUUUUUGAAACAAAUGAGAGAAGAUAGGGUGAGCUUAGCCUUAAAAUAGGUUAAUGCAGUUCAAAUUCGCAUUGGCGAUAAUCGAACCUAAGUCUUCUCACUUACAAGCGAAGAGAAAUACCACUAGACUGUAAUACUCAAUGGAAAAAUUAAAUUCUAAAAUACACGUAGAAUGUUAUAAACUUCUUUAAAGUCCUAAUUGAAUACACCCAAAUUUCUAAGGAUUUUAAUAUAUUAUCUUAAAAUCAUAAUUGAAGACACGUUGAAUUUCAUAGAAUCACUUAAAUUCAUGAUUGAAACACCUAGAUUCAUUAAAUGAAUUAAAAUCCCUCAAAAUUCCAAUCGAAUACACUCAUUUAAAUGCCUUGUGCUAUUUUUUAUUUUAUAAGAAUUGAACAUAAUCUUAGGUAGAACCAUGAUGAUCGACUAAAUUCACUCUUUCGUAUUUCCCUUUUUUUUUCCUUUUUUUUUACUGCAAGGAGAAUCAUCAAUAGUUUUGUGAGUCAUUGUACAACCAAGCCUGGUAAUUGAGAGAACUAUAUCGACUCCAAUUCAGAAUGAAGUCCAUGCCAGUCACGGAGACGAACAGAAAAAGGAGACAUCGAAUCAAUCCCUACCAAAUCAAAUUGCUCCGUCUGUAGGAACAUCGCCAACCCUAUAAUCCUCGACGCCCAUUCGUAGGCAACUCGCCAUUCAACCUGCAAGCUCAACCCAACUUGGAACAGUAACGUUUGACGGAUUUAGGUGCACUCCCCACUCUGCCGAACCCUCGAUCAACAUCAUCGACUCUGUUACGACACACUGGAUCUGCACUAUCCGUUUCGUAAUCCACCUCAUCUUCUCAGACCAAUGCGGAUUGUUCAAUCUGCAGUGCUUGGUUGACCCGUGUGCUCUGCUUUAGUGACGUCAUUCGCAGAACUCAUGGCUUACAUCAUAAACUAGAACAUGCCACUCUCACCAGACCCGCAACGGAAAUCUAGAAAAUGACGCUUGCUCGACCAAUCUGACUAUUGUGAGGCAAGUUCGAUUUGCAACAACCUUGGCUUUGCACAGUAAUUUUGAAAAUUGUUAUUUGAAUAAAAUGGUAAGGAAAGACAACUCAAAAGAACGACAUCUUUCUCCUUGUUCAGAUCCCAAUUCAAUAUGUGUGGAUCACCACCUCUUUCUCUUAAAAUGCUAAUUGGAUGAGGAAGAAGUCCCAACACAAGAAGAAGAAUAAAAUCUUUGGCAAACGGAUAGGAUUGGCUUUCCCAAUCUUAAGCGACCAAGUCACAUGUCUUUCUCGUUGAUUGUGGGAUCCAUUGAGUGUCGCAUGGGCUUGACAUACAACAAAAGCCAUAUUGUGAAGGCACCUGCUCUGUGGUGCACAAUAACAAGUAAUAAGCUUGGGAAAGUGAGUAGCUUCGACUCCGACAACGACAUAACCAUUUCGACAAGCAUAGCAGAGUCUCAAUGUGAAAUCCCGUCCCCAGAUUUCACUAUUUAAAUUACGUAUUUUUGUAUUAUUAAUUUCAAGAUUUAUUUUUAAAGAAUUUUAUAUAUAGUUGGCAACCAUGCAUAAAUCUUUUAUUUAGAAAAAAAAAAUUGAAGCUACCUGAUGGCAGCGAAGGAGAAGGGGGGAGGAGAGUUUCAAGAGGGAAGAAAGGAGAGAGGUGGUCGAAUGGGGAGAGGAGAGAGGAAGGAUGGUAACCAAUAGAGAGUGAAAGCAAGGAGGAAAGGGAGAAAAGGGAGGAACACAGGAUCCCGAAGGAUCCGGUUCUAACCCGUCGGCCAACCCGAUUUGGUUAGCCAAUUUCGACGAUUUUCACCCCUUUUUCGGCGAAUUAGACCAAUCCACCGCUCCAGAUCAUUAUCUUGACCCUUCCUCUACCAUUCCCACACAAAAUUCGGGGAGAUUAGGUUUGAAAUUGUGGAUAUUUGCACCGGUGGGUGCAACGGGCUUCGGGGCGGCAAUCUAUCAAAUUCAAAGGUAACUCCGUCAGCCAACACCACCAAAAUACUCCCCUCAACCUCAAGAACAAAGCCCAAGUAGUGGUGGAGGUGUCAGAGUAAGUAUGGAGGUCGAAUCGGAGCACACCCAAUCCUAGGGUUCCAGCGAUUCGUGGGUGAUUUCAAGUGUUUCCCGGCUGAAUUGGACUCUAGCCCAGGUAUGAAAUUACUCCCCUAACUGAGAUCUAGUUGUUUAUAAAAUUUGGUAAUUUUUGGAAUUAGUUGAAUUUUCCAGCAAGUCGGGGCGGCCGACCGCCAACCGCGGCGGCGCGUGGAUAGUGGGCCGAUGAUAUCUUCUAAGUUCAAUUAGAUGCCCUGAUUUCAUAAUUGAUAUCUGUAGGACACGGUUUGAUAGUUUGAACUUAGUUUCAUUACGAUACAUCACUAGAACAAAAUUUGAAUCAAUGAUCCGACCGUUGAAUCAUCACCACAAUUUGAUACAUUAUAGUAAGUAAUAUUUGAGGACAAUAGGAACUUACGGAUUGGGAAUCCGACGUAUGGAUCUUCCCGAAUUAGACCUGUAAGUUUGUAAAAUAAAAUGUCGACCGCCACUUAAAUUUGUGAUUGGCGGAGAUAUGACCAUCGUAUCGUAGUGAGACUUUAGUAUAUUAUUCUAGAAGUAUAAUUUUGACUUUGGGAAGUUAUGGAUCGAAAAUCUGAUGUACGUAUCUUCCGGAUCGAAUUACGUAGGGUUGUGGACCUUAUCGUUGACCAAGAAUUGACUUUUGGUCAAUAUGUCUCGAAGCGUUUUCAAUACUAAAUUUAAUACCAUGGGAUACUAAGUGAAGUCUAAUGUGACCACAUUGGUUAGAGAGUGACUUGAAAAUAUGGGAUAUAGUUAUUACCUUGAUUUCUUAUAUUAAGAUCAUUUGUGAAUAUGAUUUGGGUUAUAAAUGAAAUUUCUAAUGAAAUGUGAGUAUUAUAUAUAUAUAGAUAUAUAUAUGCGCCAUAGACCCAUGUUUAUUGAAUGUGAAUUCUAUUGAAGUGUUAUUUUUAUUUCUGGCCAUCGAUUUAUUUUCAUUAAGUAUGAUUUGACUUGUGCUUCGGAAAUAUGGUUUGUAUUGUAUGAUUGGAUUGAUGUGAUGAAAUGUGAGGGCUAAUAGUGGACCGUUAAACUAUUGUCAUGAGGUUUGUUACUUAAACACUUGUUUCACAUCUUGUUUCCUUAUUUCACUUUUUGUGUCAUUAAGCCCUUCUAAAUUAAGUACUUGGUUCUUGUAUUGUUUCUUCAAGCUGUUGUUGUAUCCCUUGAUUUUCCACUCGAUUCACUGAUGGUCCGGAAUCCCUUCGAUUUUACGAUUCCGUUGAGUAAUGGUCCGGAAUUGUACCCUGGCUCGGAUUCCGUUGAGUGAUGGUUUGGAAUCCCUUCUAUUCUGCGAUUCCGUUGAGUGAUGGUCCAGAAUCGAUCCAGCUUGUAUUCCAUUGGGUGGUUCUAUAUGCAUGGUACUCCCCGAUUCCAUUGAGUGAUGGUCCGGAAUCCCUUCUACUCCGCGAUUCCGUUGAGUGAUGGUCUGAAAUCGUAUCCUGAGUUUGAUUUCGUUGAGUGGUUCGGAAUCCCUCUGGUGACUUGAUUCCUAGGAUAUGAUUUCAGCUUCAAAGAUGUAGGCUUCAGCCGAACUGUGUCGCCCUAGCCCUGCAUGUCAGUGUGUUGUAUGGGUUAUUAUGUGGUGUAAUUAUUGGAUGUUGUUGGAUGUAAUUGUUAUGAUUAUGAUAUACCGUUGACCAAUAUGGCUAUAGAUUAUUAUUGCGCCUCGUCGAUUGUUCCUUGAUAUGUUGCACGCUCUGAAUUGUGCAUUAUGUUGAAAUAUGAUAGUUUAUGUGAUGAAUAUUCGAGUGUAGUGAAAAGUUGAACUACGAAUGGCUUGAUCCCUAUUGAGGGUACGUAGGCAGUCUAACGAAGAGGUUAGAUGCAGCCAUAAAGUAUACGCAAAAUUAUUAUGCAUCUGAAUCUUAAAUUAUAUUUUGUGCAUAUCCAAAAGGUGGGGUAUGUUGAGUUACGAGCAUUUAGGGACAUCACGUGUCGAUUUUGGACAUAUGUCGGGAUCAGGGUGUGACACUAAAAAUGGAAAGAAAUUCAUUGGUGGCAAGCCACUCCUAAAAGAAAGUAUAAGUUCAACUUUGAAACUAAGUUUCAAGUUCCAUCAAAGUUCCAAACUCAAAUAUGAACCGUGAUAGUUAUACAACAUAGCGCAGUGAUCUUGCUACAACACAAAGAAUUACAAAAAAAGAAGUCUCAUUUCUCUACCAUUAUUAUUACUCAAUUUUCAAUUACCCUCGCUUAACUUUUUUUGUUUGAGCUAGGACUAAUUAGAUUAUUGGUGUAUUUUUGUUCACCAUUCACCUUGUGAUUCCAAGAUGUGAUAUUCCUAGAAUUUAGAGAAAAGCAUGUCCAUACAAAUUCGCACAAAACGAACUUGGUUCACUAAAGCUUGCAAGUAGGAAGCAAAGACAGGUUUGACCCUAUGCAAACCAACACCUCAUCACAAGUCUGACUUGUAAACCUCUCGACUAAAGUCAACAUGUAACUCAGUUUGAGUCCAUCAACACUCCAACUGGGGCAAGUGCUCGCAAAGCUCUAGGGUAAUGUAAUCGUGCCUGAAACCAAUUUUGCGCACUUGAAUGAUUUUUAAUGGAAAGUUGAUUUCCUAGAUGAAUUUCAAUAUAAUGCCAAUUGGAGACUUGGAGACUAAAGCUAAGACAUUGAAGAUUGUUGUAAUAAAAUUUCAUAAUUUUCUACAAAGCCAAUCUUCCAGGUUUUGGAACAAAGAUGGUCGAAGCUACAUUCCGGUAAGAACUGCACAGCUAUGGGAAAACGAAGAUUUCAAAGCCUUCCCGAUUUUUUCUAGUAACAUGCCAUAUAUUCCUUAAAAGAUCUUAAAUAGAGCUAUAAUUUUCCACUAAGACAUAACGGUAUCAAAUAUGGCAUGCAAAACAGCUGAAUAGUAGGCUAACCCAACCAGCACAUCGUAGCAGCAUGGCUAGCUUGCCAGGUUAAACUAUACAUGCUAAAAAAAACUGAGUUUUAUGCAAUAUAUCGUCCCGAAGAUAUGGAUGUAAGCUUUCUAUAGAAUAUUGUAGAAAUCAAUUUUGAGCUACGUGGAAGUCAUUAUCACAUUUUUACCACCCAUAACACAAGUUGGAAUUCUUUGCGAGAUUUUCUAAGUUAUUCCUCCAAACUCAUAUCAAACGAGGUACAACAUGCCGCAAUAACGUAUGAGUUCUGGAUGCACACAGUCAUCAACGGCUAACCUAAGGGUUCCAACUAAUACAAGUCAGCUCCAAUGAGCUAAAAACAAAAAUCAUCCACAAAGCACUGCUUGAUAACUCUACACUUGUCCUCCUAUACUACUAGCUCGUAAUGGAAAAUGACAAUGGGCAUACUAGAGUAAGAAGAAAAAAAUCUCAUGAACUUGAACAACCCAUACAACACAUGGUAGUUAUGGACUUGAAAUCCUACACAUGAAGAAGUUCGAAUAGUAUAUUACUCCGCCUUACUCUAAAACUAUUUAGAGUCAAGCGGAUCAGAGUAAGAAUGCCUUUCUAGUUUGGUCAGGGACUAAACAACUUUCAUCUCAAAGCUGCACAAAUAGAGCAAUGAUGCCACUAUCAUUCUGUUUCAGAGCCACUGAUGUUGAAACUAAAUUCACGCACUGUUAUAUGUGGAAGAAGUGCUCAAACUCGACUACUUGUAAAACAAUAAACAACUGUGGGCAAGCCUAGGACCCAGGGGGUAUGUGUCGACCAAAAGCUCUCCAACGGUCAAGUUAGUAAACAAUUUUAGACUCAGGCAGUGGGCAAGAGAAUUCAAGUGUUUUGGUUGCGUUACUAGAGAUAAACCCUAGACCGGUGUAAAUCCUUGUUCUAAGUUGAGAGAAUUCUAAAGGAUAUCUAGAAGUAGAUAUUGCACCCUUUUAGGAUGUAUGAUUACUUGUGAUGCACGCCAAUUUCUAAAUUGUAAGAACUCUAAGACUUAAUGGAUCUGAUUGUGUCCAUAUCCGGAUCAAAUCGAGUGUGUUGCGGAAUAAGCAUGGCCAUCCAGCAGAGUUGCUAGGAUUUCACCUAUUGCCCCGGAAUAAAGUGAUGGUGGCACUACUACUACGUCUGAUCCAGCUUCGCCCAGAGCCGGUGAGUCCAUGACCGGACUUCCAAGGCAACUACAUUCAGAUCAGCCUUACUCUGGCCCUGGAAAAUCAUGGACCAACAAUUGCCCCCAACUAUGCAUCUAAGAGGCAACUUGUUCCCUUUGAGGAUGGAUUGUUACCCAAGGUCAUGCCUUUCGGAGUAAGCUUGAAUACAAACUGUUUAGUUUUCUACUUUUGUGUUGAUCUGACCUUUGGCGUUAAAAUGGGGCUAUUGAUUCACUUUGGUUUCUAUCACACAACCCCUAGAAUCGUGCAAAAUCAACUGUAAUGAUGACAAAUGCCUCCAUUUCGUGUACACGUUUCACAAAAACCAAUCACAUGUUUCUUUAAGUGGUUUCGAUCUUAUACGCAUCAAGUCCCAAUACUAAAGACUUUCACAUUCAACGGCGAGAUCCUUUAGUGACUUACUUUAAAUAGCUGCUUCCCAUUUGAGAUUUCUAGUCAUUUUCACUUUCACACCAUGGAACCUCUGCAUUCUAACCAAAGUUUUCUUUCCACACUCAGUUUCCUCUCUGAUCUUUUGAUGUUUGAAAUCCUUCAACCAAAAACCUUCUUUUUUUUUUUCUCAACAAUCUCUGCCAAACGAAGCUAAGUAAUACCCAAUUUAGCCAUAAUUUCAUGCUAAUAGCCUUUGCUUUUUGAGAUUUGUUCCAUAACAUUCACCCCUCGUAGUACCCUUCAUGCAGUCCUUGCAUAUGGGUGGAAUCCUAAUAACUUGUUGAGAUUCAUUAGGGGGUUCUUCGUCACUGCUUUCUUCCUCAUCCUUCAUUUGUGGAUGAUGACGUGGGGUAUCUCUAUCAGAAUACUCGUCCUUAAUAUAGUAUCUUGCUCGGAAUACAACAAGAUGGGCAUAGUACACAAUUGGUCUUACAGUAAAAACUCCAUUAGAGUCAAGGAUUCUAGCCAAGUAGCCUUCAAAAAUUUCUUUUGCCAGGGGUGAAGGCUUGUCACCCCAAAAUUGUAGUAUCUAUUUGAGCCCUUUUACUCGGACUUUGAUAAUAAACAUGUGUUUGUGCUUAGACCCGACAGUUUCUGACACAACACGAAAACGACACGAAAAUAACAAGUUUCGGGUCAACACAAUAACUAAUCAGGUCAUUAUCGAGUGACCCAUUAAGAACCCGUUAAUAGCAUGUUCUUAACGAGUAUACACGCGGGUAACACGUGAGUAACCCGUUUCGACCCGUUAAGAAAAAAAAUAUUUUGAUAAUUUUAAAUUUUAAUUACUAAAAGAUUUAUUAUAAAAUACAAUAGCCAUAUUAAUAUAUACAAUAUAUUCUAUAUUAAAUAUAUAGUUUUGUAUUAUUAUUGUUCUAUAUAAGUUAAAAAAAAGUUUUAGUCAUUAUUUAUUUUUAUUAUGAGAGUUCCUUAUUAUCAUUAUUAGGAUAAAUUUUACUUAACAUGUUGUUGUCUAAAAUUAAAAUAAACUAGUAUAGUAUUUGUGUAGGCAAGAACUAAGAAGACAUACAUACAAGUAUGAAAAAUGUGAAAGAAUCAGUGAAGAAAAUAUCGAUAAUAUCGACGAAAUAUCGCCGAUAUUAUCGUUUUUUUGGGACCCCGAUAUUUUAUUAACUAUCCAACUUGUUUUCGGAAAAAUAUAUCGAUAAUAUCGCGAUAUUUUCGAAACUAUCGCGAUAUUUUGUAUUGGCUAAAUCGGAGAACAAAGCCGGAGCAAAUAGGGUUUCAGUACAAAGCCGAAUCCCUAAAUCCCCAAAUUCUAAUUCAAAGCAAAUGAACUGAAUCCCUAAUUCCUAAAUCCCUAAAAUCGAUUUCAGUACAAAAAUCAACAUGCAGAAAAAUCGCAAUCUGUACAAAAUUGUAAUUUACAAGCCGAGAAGAAUGCCGGAGCAAAUUAACCGAAUCCCUAAAUCCCCAAAUUCGAUUUCAAAGCAAAUGAACUGAAUCCCUAAUUCCUAAAUCCCUAAAAUCGAUUUCAGUACAAAAAUCAAGCAACAUGCAGAAAAAUCGCAAUCUGUACAAAAAUUGUAAUUUACAAGCCGAGAAGAACGCCGGAGCAAAUUAACCGAAUCCCUAAAUCCCCAAAUUCGAAAUCAAAGCAAAUGAACUGAAUCCCUAAUUCCUAAAUCCCUAAAAUCGAUUUCAGUACAAAAAUCAAGCAACAUGCAGAAAAAUUGAAAUCUGUACAAAAAUUAAAAUUAAAAGCCGAGAAGAAGAGAAGUAGGAGCCUGGGAACGUCGUCUUCCUCACGAAUCCAAGACGGUUGGGACAACGUCGUGCUCCUCAGUGGUGUCGACGGCUGGGACUACGAUGAAUUCCGGUCCAUCUCCAUGGAACAAGGUGGUUUAGAAGGCGGUUAUCGAGUGGUGUCGACGGCUGGGUUUAGGGCGGGUGAGAUGGGAGGAGCAAAGGGAGACACGGACGAGGAGGAUCGAGAUUCGAGAGAUGAGUCUGUGUGUGUGUGUGGAAGAACUGGAGAAGGGGGAAGGGAGGGAGAAGACUGAGAACGAAGACUCAGAGAGAGAAGAGAGAGAAGAGAGAGAUUGAGACGAUUCGAGAAAGGAAUGAAUGAUCGAGACUCUCUGAGCUCCGUGUGUGGUGUGCGUGUGUGGUGUGGUGUGGGGGGUCUCGAAGUGUGUGUGUGGUGGAGUGUGAGUUCUUCACUGUUUUUGACUGUCUGUGUGGUGGCGUGUAAGAAAAAAAAAGGAUCCAAUGAUCCAAAUAAUUCAAAACCAAAUAAUUCAAAACCUAUCUCUAGCUCUCUGAUACAAUGAUCCAAAUAACUUUUUUGCAAUUUCAGAGCAUGGACAACAAAUAAUACUGCUUUCAUAAUGAAAUCGUGUGACAGUCAGUAAGAUUCUUUCACAUGUAAAACAGUGUCAGUGUGUCAAUGUCUGUUAUAUACUUACAUUCUUUCACCUUAUCAGAGGUGGAGUAUCAGAGGCAUUCACAGAAUUUUCGUUUCUUCUUCUUCCCAUACCAUUUUCAAAACCAUUCCAGAUCCAUUCCAAAGCUUGAACACAAAGGGUUCCAUAUUUAAGGUAAGUUUACAAACUUAAAUUUAUAUUAUUGUAAUUUAUACAACAACAAAUAAAUUUGUGUGGACUCGUAUGUUAAUUUUUUUAAGUAAUUAAUACUUGCAUGUUAAUUUUUGUAAGUAAUUAAGUAAUGUUAACAAUUACAUGUUAAUUUUUUUAAGUAAUUAAGUAAUGUUGUAUAAUUAUUCCCUAGGAUAAUUUUAAUAUGUUUAAUGUUAUUUAUUAUUUUAUUUCCCUUACCAUUUUCAAAGUCAUUCCAGAUCCAUUCCAAAGCUUGAACACAAAGGGUUCCAUAUUUAAGGUAAGUUUACAAACUUAAAUUUAUAUUAUUGUAAUUUAUACAACAACAAAUAAAUUUGUGUGGACUCGUAUGUUAAUCUUUUUAAGUAAUUAAUACUUGCAUGUUAAUUUUUGUAAGUAAUUAAGUAAUGUUAACCAUUACAUGUUAAUUUUUUUAAGUAAUUAAGUAAUGUUGUAUAAUUAUUCCCUAGGAUCAUUUUAAUAUGUUUAAUAUUAUUUAUUAUUUUAUUUCCCUUACCAUUUUCAUUAUCAAAUUGGAUUAUUAUUCAUUAAUAUUAGGUUUUUUUAUUAUCAAAUUGGAUUAUUAUUCUUUUAUAUUAGGAUUAUUUUUUUAUCAAAUUGGUGGAUUAUUCAUUAAAUUGGAUUAUUAUCAAAUUGGAUUAUUAUUCAUUAAAUUGGAUUAUUAUCAAAUUGGAUUAUUAUUCAUCACUAUGUUUUAUAUUAGGAUUAUUUUUUUAUCAAAUUGGAUUAUUAUUCAUUAAAUUGGAUUAUUAUCAAAUUGGUGGAUUAUUCAUUAAAUUGGAUUAUUAUCAAAUUGGAUUAUUAUUCAUCACCAUGUUUUAUAUUAGGAUUUUUUUUUUAUCAAAUUGGUGGAUUAUUCAUUAAAUUGGAUUAUUAUCAAAUUGGAUUAUUAUUCAUCACCAUGUUUUAUAUUAGGAUUUUUUUUUAUCAAAUUGGUGGAUUAUUCAUUAAAUUGGAUUAUUAUCAAAUUGGAUUAUUAUUCAUUAUAUUGGAUUAUUAUCAAAUUGGAUUAUUAUUCAUCACCAUGUUUUAUAUUAGGAUUUUUUUUAUCAAAUUGGUGGAUUAUUCAUUAAAUUGGAUUAUUAUCAAAUUGGUGGAUUAUUCAUUAAAUUGGAUUAUUAUCAAAUUGGAUUAUUAUUCAUCACUAUGUUUUAUAUUAGGAUUUUUGUUUUAUCAAAUUGGUGGAUUAUUCAUUAAAUUGGAUUAUUAUCAAAUUGGAUUAUUAUUCAUCACCAUGUUUUAUAUUAGGAUUUUUUUUUAUUCAAAUUGGUGGAUUAUUCAUUAAAUUGGAUUAUUAUCAAAUUGGAUUAUUAUUCAUUAUAUUGGAUUAUUAUCAAAUUGGAUUAUUAUUCAUCACCAUGUUUUAUAUUAGGAUUAUUUUUUUUAUCAAAUUGGUGGAUUAUUCAUUAAAUUGGAUUAUUAUCAAAUUGGUGGAUUAUUCAUUAAAUUGGAUUAUUAUCAAAUUGGAUUAUUAUUCAUUAUAUUGGAUUAUUAUCAAAUUGGAUUAUUUUUCAUCACCAUGUUUUAUAUUAGGAUUAUUUUUUUAUCAAAUUGGUGGAUUAUUCAUUAAAUUGGAUUAUUAUCAAAUUGGUGGAUUAUUAUCAAAUUGGAUUAUUAUUCAUUAAAUUGGAUUAUUAUCAAAUUGGAUUAUUAUUCAUCACCAUGUUUUAUAUUAGGAUUUUGUUUUUAUCAAAUUGGAUUAUUAUUCAUUAAAUUGAAUUAUAAUCAAAUUGGAUUAUUAUUCAUUAAUAUUAGGUUUUAUUAUUCCAUAUUAUUUGUAUAAUUACUUAAAUUUUUACAAUCAUUUUCUUUACUUUGUAUUUAAUUCUUCUGUAGAAUAACUUUAUUAUUUAGGUUCUCUUAUUUUAUAAAAAAAUAAUUGUCUAAUUUUCAUGAAAAAUAAAUAUAGGUACGUUUAAGAUGUCCAGUAAACGUGAUCCAGCUUGGGAACAUGGAGACCCAAUAGACGGAAACAAACAUGGCACAAUUUGCAAAUAUUGUGGUCAGGUAAUGAAGAGUGGCGGAGUGACACGACUGAAGUAUCAUCUUAGUGGAUUAGAUCCAUCAAAAAAUGUCCAACGAUGCGAUAAUGUCCCCCCAGAAGUGAAGGCAUUCAUCAGCACAUUAUUAAAAAAAAACAGCAGAAGGAAAAGAUAACACAGGGAAUGGAAAAUAUUUGAGCUGGGCUACGGGGAGAAGUCUAUGGCCAAGCGGUUGACAGUGAUGAUGAUGACGAUGAGGACGAAUGUGAUGAUGACAUGGGACCUGAAGAACGACGCAGUUUGAAACAAGCAUUACGUGCCUCCAAACAGUCAGCAUGGGAAAGAGAACACCUUCAUAAAAUUCCUAAUAGGGGACAAGGUUCCGGGACAAGUGGUGGUGCACAAAUGAGACGGGGAGGCAGUCUUAGAGAAUCACAACCAACACCACCAAUAGCCCCAAGUUUAUAUAAGUCAUCCAACGCACGUCAAAAGAGUGUUUGGAGUUAUUUCAAGGGAGGUAAUGUGAAGGAGGGAAUGGGGCGUCUAAUUAGCAAGUUCUUUAUCUAUGAAAAUGUCCCUGCUGCGAAGGCAUCAUCACAUCAUUUCAAAAAUAUGGUAGUGGGAUGUCAACAGGCCAGUGUUGGAGUACAACCUCCCACUCCCUAUGAGAUAAGAAACAAAUAUUUGGAUAUGGAGUAUAAAGACAUUGGCGAGUAUGUUAACAAGUUGAGGUCAAAGUGGGAAACUAAUGGUUGCACAAUCAUGUGUGACGGAUGGACCGGCCCGACCAGAUUAUCUAUCAUCAACUUCAUGGUAUACUCCAAGGGAAAGACAAUUUUUUUGAAGUCUGUUGAUGCUUCAGACCAUAUAAAGAAUUACAAGUAUAUUUACAAAUUAUUGAGGGAUGUAAUCAUGGAGGUGGGAGAGCAUAAUGUUGUCCAAGUCGUGACCGACAACGGUUCUGCAUUUGUCAAAGCUGGAAAAAAAUUAAUGAAGCAUCAUAAUGUGUUUUGGACAUCAUGUGCAGCACAUUGUAUUGAUCUCAUGUUUGAGGUAAUGGGGAAGAGAGAGAAUGUUGCUACUGUGGUCAAAAGAGCUAGAACGAUCACAAAUUAUAUUUACAAUCACGGUUGGUUGUUGGCAAAGAUGCGUGAAUUUUGCAAAGGAGAAAUUAUUCGUCCAGCUACCACUCGAUUCGCCACCAACUAUAUUGCAUUAAACAGCCUACUCAAGAAGAAAGCAGGGUUGAAGCAACUAUUCACUAGUGACGAUUGGGCCAACCACAAUUUCAGCCGCUCAAAUACAGGUCGUAUGGUGGAAAGUAUAGUACUUGAUCAUGCUUUUUUGGACUCAAACAGAACAUGUGUGUCAAGUGUUUGAACCUCUUUACAAAGUUUUACGGAUCGUUGACACAGAAGUGUAUCCUACUAUGGGGGCAGUAUAUGAGUUGAUGCGUGUAGUGAAGGAUGAAUUGGAAAGAAAACAUGGUGCAAGGUGGGUCAUAAAAAUAAUUGAAGACCGAUGGUAUAAAACAUUAUACCACGAUUUGCAUGCAGCAGGUAUAAAUUAUGUCAUAAUUUGCAAUUCAUUUCUUUAGUUGCAUAAGUAUUAUUUCUCUUAUUAGAGUAUGUGUUUCUUUGAACAGCAUAUUAUUUGAAUCCCCGAUACCAAUACAGACUCGGUGUUGGAGAUGAUGGUAACCUUAUACGUGUUGUACAUAAUGUAUACUCUAAAUUAGACCCUGUAUCACCAGCAGUUGGCCAAUUUGGAAAUGAGAUACACAAUUACUUAAAUUAUAAUAAUUACUUUGUUGGAUUAAACUAACACAAUUUAUUGUAUUCAGCUAACAUGGUUUAAAGAUGCAAGAAGAACAUUUGGAGAACUAACAUCAGUUGCUGCUCGAACAAAUAUGUCUCCUAGUGAGUAUAAACAUAUUUCACUAUAAGUUUAUAAUAGAAUUUGUUGGAGUUAUUAGGCUUAUCAACAUUAUUUUUCAUUGUAGCUGAAUGGUGGAUCAUGUAUGGGACCGAUGCACCAACUGUGAGAAAGUUAGCAAUUAAAGUAUUAUCACAAACAGCUUCCUCAUCUGCUUGUGAAAGAAAUUGGAGCACAUUUGCACUCAUACACACAAAGCAAAGAAAUAAGUUGGCUCAUAGUAGCUUGGAAAAAUUAGUUUAUUGCUACUACAACAUGAAGCUUCAAAUUCGAGAUAAGGAAGUAGAAAUCGAUCAUGUCGACCGUGGUGACCCACUAGAUGUGUUUGAUAUUGUUGGUGAAGAUGAUGAUACGGAGGGUAACCAACUUUUUCAAUGGAUUAGACCUCUUCAUUUAGAUGAUGAUGAAGGCAACCCAGCUCCCAGAGUUGCUGAAGAAGCACGUAAUGAAGGGAUAAAUGUAGAGAAAGAGUAUUAGAGGAGGAGGUGGGAUCUAGCAGCUCUGACUCUUUCGAAGAACUUUUGCACCCAAGACCAAGAAACACUGGAAUUCCACCUUCUUCCAAUCCUACACAACCACAACAUCGUGCUGAUACUAAUGAUAGCUCUAGUACAAGAUCAGGAGACUCACCUACCACCGGAGGUGGGAAUGAUGAAGGACAUAGUGGAGCUGGAGGGUAGUGGUGGUGGAUAUGGAAACUAUUAUGGACCACCACCUCCCGGAUAUAUGAGCCCCUUCACUGGUGAGGCAAACUUCACGCAUGCAACACAGGAUGAUGACCAUGGCAGUAGGCGGGCAGGACCAGGAAUUUGUGCCAUAGGGAAGGACUAUAUUCGCAGAGAAAGAGGCAAGGGGAUUUUGUCAAGUCAAGAAGAUGACUCGUUAUCUAGAACUUCAGACUCUGUUGGAUUGGGAAGUAGUAACUAUGGUUAUACUCAUAACCAACCAUUUCCCUACCCUUCAUAUCCCAUUCCUGUUGGGAUGGAAUCGAGCGACUCAUGGAAACAAUCCCAGCCUCAAUCUUCAAAUGAUUUUUCUUAUGGACAACCUCAACCAAUCUCGGAUCCAUAUGGGUGGUAUAUUAACAAUUACAUGCAAAACUAUUUUGGGGAUUUAUCAUUUGAUAACUACUCUUCACAAUACACUCAUUCUACACAUAGAGAUGAUGAAGAUAGUGAAAAAUUUGAACCUCAUAGGAACUCUAUGUGGUACUAAAGUGUAAAAUAUUGUACUAAUUCAUUAUAUAUAAAUGAUUAUGGUGUGUUUAGACUUCUUUCAUUAAUUACUACAUAUUUUCUACACUCACAAUAUUUGUCAGAUCGCUAUGUAAUCAACUUGAUAAUGUUAAAUCCAUCAUGCAAUGCAUUUCCUUCCAAUUUUUUGUGAUAAAUUAAUAGAUAAUUGACUAAAUAAACAUCCUACAAAGUUUCAAUAAAAAUUUCCAAGUUUUUCUUACAAUUUCCGUGGUUUCCAUGUAAUUUUUAUCGAUAUCGAUAUUUACCGAUAUUUCCAUCGAUAUUUCCGUGUUUUCGGACUACCGAUAUUUCCGAUAUUACCGAUAUCUUCUUCCUUGGAAAGAAUAUAUAAACAUUUGUGAUUCAUCAUUAUAACUCCACGAGUAGAUAAUGGUUACACUUACAUUAUCAAUUAGAUUUUUAAAAUCCUCCGAACCCUCAUGAAUAAUGUUUUUUAUUUGAGGGCAAAAUCAAUAAUAACUAUUGUAGAAGUGUAAAAAAAUGUAAAAAAAAAAUAUACAAUCACUCAUAAUGACAAGCUUUACAACUUUCAUGAAGGGGUCAGCUUCAAAAUCCAACACUAUAAUCCAUAAACCUUAAAUUUAUAUUUAACCAUCGAUUGUCAUUUACGUUUUAUUCUUCUUACUGAAUUUCAUUUUUAACAUUUUCUUUUUUGAAAACGUGAUCAUUUGGCGAAUGUAAGAAGAUGAAUGGUUCAGAUCUUUGAUAUCACGAUUUUGAUAUUUACGAUUAACUGAAAUAUGAGUUGAUGUCAUAUAGUUUGUAGAAACUUUAUAAACAUCAAGCAAUAUUUUCACUAACUGUAAAACUCUGAACAUAAUAUCAACGAUCCAAACCCUUCAUCUUCCUAUAUCCUCUAAUAGAUCAUGUUUUCAAAAAAGAAAAUCCAAAAAAAAAAAAAAUUGAUGAGAAAAAUGAAGCAUAAGUGUAAACAACAAUCAAUGGUUAAAUUUUUAUCUAUGAUUUAUAUGAUUAUAGUGGCGAAUUUCGAAGUUAAGCUCUUCACGAAAGUUGUAAAACUUGUCAUUACAAGCGUUUGUAUAUAUAUUUCUAUAUUUUUUUACACUUCUACAUUAAUUAAAAAACUAUUAAAUACUUUACUUAAAUAACAGCCGUAAGAUAAAUGAGAGUAAAUAUGUACCAUUGGAUUCUAUUUCACUUAAAUAACAGCCGUAAGAUAAAUAAGUAUGUAUAUUCUUAUUUAGUAUUAUGUUUUUCAUUUGAUUAUAUAUUGGUUUAAAAUAUAUUUUCCUUAACGGGUAACGGGUCGGAUCAUAUUAUCUGUUAAUAUUAUCAGGUCGGGUCAUUUUACCCGUUUAUUUUAACGGGUGUUACACUACACAACCUGUUAAGAUAUCGAGUAUGACACGAACACAGAAAAUACGACACGAAUGCCAGGUCUACUUGUGCGAACUUUUUACUUGUCUUGCAUCUUCUUAUUUAAAUCCGAUAAAAUCUUUCCAAAGUAAACGAAUUUUUAGAAAUAAAAUAAGCAACGGAGCAAAAUACAAGUAAGCUUGUGGAUCUGGUCUCAAAAGCCCCAUCGAUAAUGAUGAUUCGGAGAAACAUUACCUUCCAAACUUAGCAUCCAUAAAGUAUUCUCAUUGAGAUAUCCGGAGUACCACCUUACUCCGGUAUCAAAGAUAAAACAUUAAACCCAUGAAGAAUCUUUCGCUCUAUGCUUAUCAAUACAUUUAUCAAUUUAAGAAUUUCAAACCAUAUUUGAAACAACCUGCAAGAAACAAACCAAUAAAAAAAAUUUACCUUGGCCCAAUUCUUGGAUCAAGGUUUUCAAUACUUGCAAUGUAGUACUAGGAAGGGAUUUCUUUCCUAGAGACUGGAUCGCGUGCCAAUAUCUAGUGAAGCUUAAACAAAAGUUUUAUGGAGACUUGGUUAUCGACAUGUGGGUCGAAAGCACUUUUUGAAUCCUUUUGUCAGACCCUAUGCAUCGAACCUGAGCAUUUUCGAUUGGACUACCUUGACUGGCUUAGUCAGAGCAUAUCAGAGCUCCAUUGGAAUAAAAUUCCUCUUAGGGAUUUCCUUGUCUGGAUGCCCCCUUUAGACUUACUAACAUACAAUGUUGCAGAAUAUACUUGACCUAGUACGUUGGUCCAGGAUAGAAGUAGUCGUACUCAGGGUCGGAGUUCAAAGCCACCUUCGGAUGAUUUUUGGAUCGGCCCCUUUCAAAUAUUCCCUUAAAUGGCAUAGAGCCCAGGUUUGAAUGUUAUAACCCAUAACUUUGCUAGUUGUAUAAACUUUCAGGGUGCCGGAGGCAGGACUGGCCCUAAGGGGGUGCCAGGGGUGAGACCGCACAGAGCCCCCGAUUUUUUAGAGGCCCCUGAAUUUAAUAACCUUUAUAAUGUACACAUAUAGAUAGAGUAUGUUGGCAACGUUGCCUUAGAGGAGUUGUCAAGCGCUGAUUCUUACAUUUAAUUGUGCACGGGUUCAACUCCAUGUGGAAUAAUUUUGGGCCUUUUUGAUCUACAUUAUUUUUUUUUUAAAUAUUUGUUAAUUUCUAUCAUUUUAAAAGAUAACUUUUGAAAUAAAUCUAUAUUUAGGAAUAUCAUAAUUAAUUAAAAUCCUACAAAGUUUGAAGAUAUAAUCUUUAAAAGGCCCCCUUUCCAUCCAUGACAUCAUUUAAUUGAAUACAUAUCAUUCGUUUACUUUUGGUCACCAUUUAAGCAUCAUCUAUUUUCAUUCCAUUUGAAGAUCAUUUAGUCAUCCAUAAAAAAUAAAACAAUUAUAGUACAACUUUGCUCACAACACUAAAGUGUAGGUGAGCAGGUGAUACUCGCACCGAAUUGAUUACCGUUAGAUUAAUUUGGUUUAAUUGAUUUAAGAUACGAAUCUCAAAUUUUAACUAAUCUAACGACAAUUAACCAAGCGAGGGUUAGAAUCAUCCUCACUUUAGGGCGAGAAAAAAAAAUGCAAUAAAAAACUAAUAGUUCAUUAUAAGAUGCUAGAAAUAUCAUAACUAGUGAUUUGUUUAGCUGUUGAUAAUAAAGAGCAUAAGUGGUUCUGAUUAUGAUAUAUGUACCGUGAUAUGAUAGGUACAAAGCCACCACACAUGCUUUUUGUAUUUAAAAAGUAAGGAAUUUCAAACCCAAAAACAUAGGGAAUGCAUACAGGUACAUAGCCACCAAACUAUGCUUCUUUUUUAUUUAUUUUCUUUUGCGUUUUUACCAAUUUAUACACUAGAAGAAAAAAUAUAUAAAUUAUAAAUGAAGAUAUAGCAACCAAAAUUUAGACCAUGUAAGGGCCUCUGUUUGAGUCUCCCAUAUGGCCUCCAAAAUCUUAGGACCGCCCUGGCCAGAGGGUGUACUGAACUUAUAGGUUAGGGGCUCAUGUGUCCGUACUCGUAGCCUGCCAACCAUUGCCGCGCAUAUUACAGUUUGAGUCUCCCAAGCUGCUAACCGUUUAUCAUGGGAUGGGCUAAGAAAGACUCCUUUAACAGUGCUACUUUGAAUUUUAAACUUGCAUUCAUGCGCGAAGUUUUCAAAUUUUAUGCUUUGUUCAAAGAGUGUGGGGUAUUCCCUACAUCACUAAAAAGAGUAAGGAAAGAACAUAUAAGAUAAAUAAAGUUUUUAUGGCAAAAAAAUAGGUUUGAUUCACAAGGGGGUGUGAUGAAUCUGAGAAGGAUUGCCUAUAUAUCUUCAGGAAGGAGAAUCAAAUCGGUGUAUUUCUAAGAAAAAGAUGAUAUAAUGUAAAUGUUGGAACCAAAUAUGCUCUGUUAGCGGUGGUUGAGCACAAAUCCAAGUAAUCCUUAACAAUCUGCAAAACAGUAAAACAACUGUAAGCAAACCUUAGGCUAGGGGGGAAUGUGCUGGCCAAAGGCUAUUCGAUGGUCAAGGUAGUGAAUGAUCUUUAAACUCAAGCAAUGGGCAAGAGAAUUAGAGUGUAAAGAUUGCGUUACCAUAUAUGAACCCUAGAUGGGUGUAUUUAUACUGUUGGAGUUUGAUUACUUGUGGCGCACGCCUAUCCUUAGAUUGUAUAGAUUCCAAGACUUAUAGGAUUUGAUUGUGUCCAUAUCCAGAUCAGAUGACUUGUUUUGCGGAACAAGCAUGGUCAUCCAACGAAGUCGCUAGGAGUGAAAGAUUUUAUAGUGUUUUUUAGGCUUUACGAAGUGAAGCCUCUCCCCUAAGAUUUUGAAUGAAUUCCCUUAAACUCACAUGAAGUCUAUGAAUCCUUAUUAAACUUCAUGCAUUUAUAACUCUUUUAAAGUCCUCAAAAAACUCAAUAAAAUACACCUCCUAAAGGACACUUAGAUAAAGAUAAAGAUAAAGAUUAAAAAGUUAAAAGAAAUUGAAACUAAGAAGGAAAAAUAGAAAAGCAUCUUAAAAAGGAGAAAUUGACUAAUUAGUCAUUGAAAAAAGACCGAAUUCAGAUGAUUAAAAUUCUAAAAGAGAAUCGGUAAAUAAGAAAAAAAAAACUCCUUAGAUUACAUGUGCAUAUGAUUCAAAAUUGGUAAGCAAAAUGCCAUGUGGGAUCCAUGCACUAAAGGAGGGAUAUGUACAUUUAUUUUUGUUUGACUAAGAUGCUUCACUAAAACACCAUAAGAAGGUACAAUGGACAACUCAAAAUGGUCCAUUCGAAACACAAACAUAAAAGCUUCAUCAAAAGAUAUUGUUGCAUCAAAACUAUCACAAACAGUGGCAAAGUCAGGAAUUGUCUGGAAGAGCGGUGAAAUUUAAAAGGGUAAAAGGUCCUAAAAAUAUUUAGACAACCAAUUUCUUUUAGAUAGUAGAUAAUAUUAAUUCAUUCAUAUUUUAUCAAUAAAAACAAUUUACAACUGUUGUCGCGUGAGGUUUCAUAUCAUGAAACCGUGGCAUAAUAGGCUCAUUACCAAUAAAAGCAAAAACAUCUAUCUCAAUAUAAACAACCAUGCCUUUACUUAAGCAUUGAUCUCUCAUGUUGUUACGCAGUUGUUUUUCACAAUAUUUGAGGUUUUUAAUAAAAUUUUUGUUGAAAACUUUUGAUAAUAGUUCAAAAUAAUAAUAAAAAAGAAGGAAAAAAAAUAGAAGUGGCUUGCAUCUGUAACAUUGUUAGCCACAACAAAAAUAAAACUUUGCGUUUCAACUUAAAUAGCUGUAAAUCCAAGAACCGUCACCUUUUUCUUCCUUCAAGUUUCAACUCCUUUAAACCAUUGCCUUAUGCAACAGUCGCGACUUGCACCAGAAAUGCCAAUAUUUGGACUUAUUUCCAAGUAUUCACUGGCAAAACCGAUGCUAAACGGGCAUUCACUUAUAUCGGUGGGAUAGAUUUUCGCCUAUAGUAAAGAUAAAAAAAAAAAAAGCGCGUAGAGGAGCAAUAACAUUCUCUGCAGGUUCCGUGCAGUAAAGAGGAAUCAAGGGGGCAGAUUCUCCCUCUUAGGGUUGAUUUCUGACGACCUGAGAUGUGGCCACACCUCCUUUGGCCUCUGUUCACCAGCGAUCACAAAGCAAAACAAAAAAAAAAUCAUAAUCAUAGAAAGAUAUAAAAAGUUAAAAAUCAAGAAAAUUGACAAUAAAUUUGAUAAAUAUUGAUGAACUACAUUUCUUAGUUUGCACUAUAAGGUAUUAAAAUUGUAUCAAUUUAGCCUUAACUGAACUAAUUGUUAAACUUUCAUUAAAUAUAUCAAAUAGUGUGCGUAAAGCCUUUAUAUGGACUAAUGUAUAAGUCAUAUUGGCACUAGAUUGACAGACAAGAAAAAACUCUGAUUUAGAAGUGAAAAAAAUAUUAUUAGACUGGUUGCGGAAUGCCUGGCGUUGCAAGAUGGCAUGUGGUUGGCUAAGGCUAAAGGCUUGACUCGUAUUAUGGUGGAGGGUGAUUUAAAACUGGUGAUUGAGUCUAUUAGUGGAUCCUAUAACCCCCCUUGGAGAUUGAAGACCAUCCUAGAAUAUAUUCGGUGGCUUGCCGGGUCGUUUGAGGAAAUUUGCUGAAAGCAUGUCCUUAGGAAAGCAAAUUUUCUGACGGAUACUAUUACUAUAGUGGGUUAUUCGGUCUUUGAUUUUCAUGUUUGAGAUAGAACUCUUCCUUUAGAAGCCCAUCAGGCUUUCCUCUUUGAUUCUAUCCAAACCGGAUGCCCCAAUGGCUUUUCUCUUUAAUGCAGGCAUUUUUCUAUUAAAAAAACGAAAAAAUUAAAUAGGCGCAACCAAGCUUUGUAGGUUUUUGUUUUAUUUUAGGUUGCUUAGUAAGGUGGGUUAUACUCUAUACUCUAGGUACAGAGAGAGAAAAGGUGGAAAUAAUAAAUGAAUGGAAAGAAUGAAUAGUAAAAAGCAAAAAUAAUUAGAAAAGAGGACAAUGAACGGUAAUUAAAAUAAAAAUACGAAAGAGAGGGAUUAAAAAAAACAAGACCCAUUCGAUUUUGUGAUUUCUGAUCUCCUAAAAACCCUACCUUUUGACCACUUGACGGGUCGGUUUGUUACCACAACACACACUCUCUCUCUCCUCCCCCUUCCCCUUCCCCUUCUCUCUCUUACCAAAACACCGGAACACCAAAACAACUCUCCCUCUCUCUCUCUCUCUCUCUCUCUCUCUUCAAGUUUUUCUUUCAUUUCACUCUGCGCUUUCUCAUGGUUUCCCAAUAAAACCCUAAUCUUUCUCCUCACUCACUCUCCAGGUACUCCAAUCAAACCCUAAUCACUCUCUUAAUCACUCGCUUACGGUAAGAUUUUCGGAUAACUAGGUUUGAUUGAUUUGAUUUGGGGUUUGUGGAUCUGCGUGUUUGGUUGCAGAGAAAAGUUGAAGGAAAAAAAAAUUGGGAAUUAAGCGUAGGAAUAUAUGUCCUUCAAUCAAUCAAGGUCGGAUAAGAACGAGACGCAGUACCGGAAAACAGGGCGAACCGCAAGCUCUAAUCAGCAGCACAGGGGAUACACAACAUCUUACCCUAAGGGCACCGGCGCCGGUGGGCCCGGCCCUUCCAUCUCCUCCAACCGCAGGUGCAUAUAUAUAUAUAUAUAUAUGUAUAUCUCUGUGUGUCUAUCGUAUCUACUUAUUGCAUAUGUGUCUUUGUGUAGAGUUUGUUUCUGAUCAGUUUUACUUGACUUUGAAGUUUUAACAAUCCAUGCAAUUAUAUUGCUUUGAUUGUAAUUUCAAAUUUGGGUUUUUUUAAAUACGUUUUGGAAUUUUUGAGAUUGUUGGAAGUUAGGGUUUGAUGAUUUUUAUUUCAAAUAUUCAGUUAUAAGAAGAAUAAUAACAAUGCACAAGGAGGACAAUCCAGGGCAAGUGUAACCACUGUAAAUACUCAGGAUUCCGGUAUUGCUUUUGCACAACGUGGCGUUGUACAAAACGGAGCCCAUGCACAGCCCCAAUUGCAUGGUACAGAUUUCGAAGUUUCUGUUCUCUUUCAUUCUAGAAAUUUAUAUGAUAGUGUCGUGAUUGUUUUAAUAGACUUUUAUGGGCAGUUGAAGGAGUUUGGGAAUCUGAGAUAAAUGGUUUUUUUUUUAUUAAAUCUGUGUUGCCCAUUUUGUUUGAUUCUCAUUUCUUGGCAAUGUUUUCCUGUGAUUGAUCUGAUGUAGGAGGUUCUGAUGCACCUGUUGCAAGCACAGCUUCCCGUACAGCUGAAGCAUCAGCCUCUCAGAGAAGCUCCCGAACUGUUCCAAAACCUCCCACUUCUCAAUCUGCCUCCAUGACUUCUGACACAAGAACACCCACUACACCAGCGAAGCGUAAGUUCACACUCUGGACCAUGGAUUUUGUUGUACUCAAUGUUGGGGGAAUGUUGGCGUAUUUUCACUGUCAUAUAGUAAUGUUGUGAUGUCAAUGCUAGAUUCUCUUGGCAGUGUUAUCCCAAAUAGUUGAUUUAGUAAUGAUUUUAACGUGCUGAUAUAUGAUUUAUGAUAUAUUAGUAAAUGCCAAUAAUCAGGUUUUAACAUUUUCUGUUGGUUUUAGCCCCAGGAGAUGCGUCCAAGGGCUUUGCCUUUCAGUUUGGGUCUAUAAGCCCUGGCUUCAUGAAUGGGAUGCAGGUAUUGUUAUAUGCUAGCGAACUCUUGAUUAAAAUUCUCUAAUUUCCUGUAUUUCUAAGCGCUGAACAAAUUAUAGCAUGUUUUUAAAAGUGGAAAGUUGUGUUCCUUGUAGAUUCCUGCUCGAACCAGCUCAGCUCCCCCAAAUUUGGAUGAGCAGAAACGUGAUCAGGUUAGCUUGUUUUUCUUCUCUCUCAUCUUCCUGCCUUUUUUUACUGAAUAGUCUGAUUGGUUCAACUGCACAUGAUGUUUUUUGGCAGAAGUGUAUGUAUACAGUAGUUUUUGUCUUCCUAUUAUGUCCUUCUGUUUACUUGUUUCAUGAAAUAUUAUUCUUUGUAUAUGAAUUUAAAAAUGACUUAAUUUCAAUGAGUAAUUUGGUAUCAUUAUGCUUUUCAAUUUUGUUUAUUAAUUUGUGAAAUCACUAUGUCAUGCUUGAACAUGCAGGCGCGCCAUGAUUCUUUUAGAGUUGUGCCUUCAGUGCCAGUCCCUACUGUUCCUAAACAGCAGUUACCAAGGAAAGAUUCAGCGUCCAUUGAUCAACCUAAUGCUGCUGAGGUUCAUAUGGUACCCAAGGUUAAAAAGGAUGUGCAAGUCUCACAUGCACCCCCUCCUAGUCAAACUCAGAAACCUUCUCCUCAUCCAAUGGCUGGGAUGUCCAUGCCAAUGCCAUUUCAUCAGCCACAGGUUCCAGUGCAAUUUGGUGGCCCCAACCAGCAGAUCCAAUCUCAGAGUAUGAGUGCCAGUUCAAUUCAAAUGCCAAUGCCUAUGCAAUUAUCAAUUGGUAGUACUCAAGUACAGCAGCCAGUGUUUGUUCAAGGUCUCCAGCCCCAUCCAAUGCAGCCCCAGGGAAUUAUGCAUCAGGGCCAGAACAUGACUUUUACCCCCCAAAUGGGUCCUCAAAUACCUCAGAUGGGCAACUUGGGGAUCAGCAUGGCAUCACAAUACCCCCAACAACAGGGUAGGAAGUUUGGCGGCCCUCGUAAAACUCCUGUCAAGAUUACACAUCCAGAUACACAUGAAGAGUUGAGGCUUGAUAAAAGGACAGAUUCAUAUCCAGAUAGUGGGCCAUCAGCCCCCAGGACUCACCCAAACAUUCCUCCUCAAUCCCAGCCUAUUCCAUCAUUUGCCCAUCCUCAUACUACCACCUUUUAUGCCAAUUCUUACAAUCCCAGCUCCCUAUAUUAUCCUGCUCCAAGUUCUCAUCCCUUAACUAGUAGUCAUAUGCCGCCCAAUUCACAAGCACCGAGGUUCAGCUAUCCAGUCAGCCAGGGUUCCCAACCUGUACCUUUCAUUAAUCCGUCAUCUCAUAGUACCCUGCCUGUUAGCAAGUCUGGGUCCCUUAUGCACAAUGUGGUGGAUCCACCUAACCUGGAACAUGCACGUGAUGUACAUAAUAUAAGUGCCUCUGUUCCAUCAGCAACUAUUCCUGUUGUAAUUAAACCACCUGCUGGAACUGUUGGAGAGAAGGUUGUCGACCCAUUGCCAAACAGCUCAACUGUUGUUGAAAAGGGUGAAUUAUCAAAGCCUGUGAGACAAUCUGGAGAAAUUAUCCAAUCUGCAGGUGACCAAUCCAUCCUCAAAUCAUUGCCGGUGAUGGAAAAAAUAUCUGCAAAUGCACCUGCCACUGCUUCAGUUGAAAAACAGGUUUCAAAUCUUUUGUCCUCUUCUGCAGCUGCCCCAACUGAGGAGUCUGCACCAGUUGUGAUCAUCACUGAACCCAGAAAAAAAGAAACUCUUAGUCGGUCAAACUCAAUUAUAGAUCAGCAAAAGAAUCCAGGGAGGAAGGGAAAUGUUCAACCACAGCUUCAGGUACUUAUUUUCAGUAUUUUUAGAUAACCUUCUAGUUUCUUCUCUUUAACAGUAGCAUUUAAAUUUGUGUCAUCAUUUUACAUCCUUGAUGACAGGUUGUUGGGCAGUCUAGCUCUACAUCAAGCGUUCUGUCUCAGUCUGCAGAGCAUGGUAUACCUUCUACUAGUGAUGUUUCUGGCACUGUAGAAGCUAAUACAACUCUUGCUCCAGUAACUAGUGCAUCUGUUUCAAAGUCAGCGAAGGAACCACUGUCAGAUUUUAGUGCUCCUACUGCUGAUUGUUUGGAAUCAAAGACUGAAGUUAUUGGGCAAGGCACUAUUCCCAUCUCUUCUGAAAUAUCUGCUCCUGGGAUGGUUGUUGGUACUUCAGAUUCCGUUCAUCGUACUCAACUAGACAGUUCUUUACAACCAGAUGAACAAGGACAGCGUGACUUGAUGGGGGCAGAACAAAGUUUGUCUGGAAAUUACAAACAGGAUACUGAAGCUCAUGGUAUUUCUGCAGAAUCCAUCUCUGUAAAACCUCUGGAAUCUGCUAAAGUACCUGCAGAUCAUUCUGUUGUGAAGGAAACAGCUAAGGGAAGUACUGUUGCAAUCUCAGACACUGCACAAGGAGGGCAGGGCCAUUAUGAGUGUCUCCAUGCAGAAUCUGGUGGAAUGGAUGCCUCUUUAAGCAGAAGUGAUAGUAUGGGUGGUAGUGAAGUUUUUUUUUCAAAAUCUAACAAAUUAGAGCAGCAUUCUUCUUCUGUUCAAACUACCGAACUUUCGGGUAGAACUUCAAAAACUGAAACUGAAGGUACAUGUGAGGAGAAUAUUGGUGGUGGUGAGGGAAAUAUUGAGAAUAUUGGUAGUGGUGGGGAUUCUCGUUCAGAGUCAGACUUCAGGGACAAACCUGAACUGAAUAGAACUAAGAGUACUAUUUCAAAGGGGAAGAAGAAAAGAAAAGAAAUUCUUUCUAAGGCAGAUGCUGCUGGCGUGACCUCUGAUCUUUAUGGGGCAUACAAGAACCCUGAAGAAAAGAAGGGUAUUGAAAACACUGAAAGUAUUAUGACCAGUAUAAUUUCAAAGCAGGUAGCUACUGAUGCUCCUCAGCAAGAUGCUGUAGGGAGAGAGAAAGAUGCACCGGUUAAAGCUGAGCCAGAGGAUUGGGAAGACGCUGCUGACAUCUCUACCCUAAAACUGGAAACCUCAGAUACUGGAGAGCUGGUCUGUGGAGUGGAUGAUUCUGACAAAGAUGGACAUGAACAUGGGGCGAAGAAAUAUUCCAGAGAUUUCCUUAUGAAAUUUUCUGAGCAAUUUACUGAGCUUCCAGAAGGUUUUGAAAUUUUGUCUGAUAUAGCAGAGAUCUUGGAUGCUAAUGUGAAUGCUGCUACUUCUAUUGAUUAUGAUUCGCUCCCUAGUCCGGGAAGAAUUGUUGAUAGGCAAGGAGGGGCCGCUAGACUUGACCGUCGUGGGAGUGGAAUAAUGGAUGAUGAUAGAUGGAAUAAGGGAGGUGCUGCCAAUUUCCGAACUGGCCAAGGACCAAAUUUUGGUGUUUUGAGGAAUCCACGUGCACCGACAUCAGUUCAGCAGCAUGUUAGAGGGAUCCUGCCUGGGCCUGCUCACUCUGUUGGUCAUCAGGGAGGGAUGCAAAGAAAUAAUUCUGAUGCUGACAGGUGGCAGAGAGCUACAAAUUUUCAACCUAAGGGCUUGAUGCCUUCUCCUCAUACUCCAUUACAGGUGAUGCACAAAGCUGACAGGAAGUAU